GAUUUGAUAGCAUAAUUGGUUAGUGCAUCUGCUGAACAUAGGACGCCCAGAAGAUCUUGAAGGCAGUAGAUCCCCGUUCGAUCCGGGGUCAAGUCA
Mycena vulgaris is the source of this 96-nucleotide non-coding RNA. The record is from the annotation of a GenBank genome assembly. NCBI's taxonomy places the organism in Eukaryota, Fungi, Basidiomycota, Agaricomycetes, Agaricales, Mycenaceae.